This 788-nucleotide ribosomal RNA is filed under the name uncultured Actinomycetes bacterium. RNAcentral's name for it is "bacterial SSU rRNA". It matches the Rfam family "Bacterial small subunit ribosomal RNA", at positions 70 to 836 of the family's 1533-position model. The record is from RNAcentral. Lineage: Bacteria; Bacillati; Actinomycetota; Actinomycetes.
AAAGUCCCCUUCGGGGGACAAGUAGAGUGGCGCACGGGUGAGUAACACGUAGGUAAUCUACCUUCGGAUGGGGAAUAACACCGAGAAAUCGGUGCUAAUACCGCAUAAUGCAGCGGCACCUAAUGGUGACAGUUGUUAAAGCGGGGGAUCGUAAGACCUCGCGUCUGAAGAGGAGCCUGCGGCGGAUUAGCUAGUUGGUAAGGUAACGGCUUACCAAGGCUACGAUCCGUAACCGGCCUGAGAGGGCGGUCGGUCACACUGACACUGACAUACGGGUCAGACUCCUACGGGAGGCAGCAGUCGGGAAUUUUGGGCAAUGGGCGAAAGCCUGACCCAGCAACGCCGCGUGAAGGAUGAAAUCCCUCGGGAUGUAAACUUCGCAAGAACGGGAAGAAUAAGUGAGGGUUAAUAUCUCUUACGAUGACGGUACCGUUUGUAAGCUCCGGCUAACUCCGUGCCAGCAGCCGCGGUAAUACGGGGGGAGCAAGCGUUGUUCGGAUUUACUGGGCGUAAAGGGCGCGUAGGCGGCCAGCACAAGUCAGUUGUGAAAUCUCCGAGCUUAACUCGGAAAGGUCAACUGAUACUGUGCGGCUAGAGUGCAGAAGGGGCAACUGGAAUUCUCGGUGUAGCGGUGAAAUGCGUAGAUAUCGAGAGGAACACCUGCGGCGAAGGCGGGUUGCUGGGCUGACACUGACGCUGAGGCGCGAAAGCUAGGGGAGCGAACGGGAUUAGAUACCCCGGUAGUCCUAGCCUUAAACGAUAAAUGCUUGGUGUCUGGGGUUAUAAAG